GACGGGGGAUGCAAGUGUUAUCCGGAAUCACUGGGCGUAAAGCGUCUGUAGGUGGUUUAAUAAGUCAACUGUUAAAUCUUGAGGCUCAACCUCGAAAUCGCAGUCGAAACUAUUAGACUAGAGUAUAGUAGGGGUAAAGGGAAUUUCCAGUGGAGCGGUGAAAUGCGAAGAUAUUGGAAAGAACACCGAUGGCGAAGGCACUUUACUGGGCUAUUACUAACACUGAGAGACCUAAGCUAGGGUAGCAAAUCGG
Molecule: ribosomal RNA, 253 nt
Filed under: uncultured bacterium
Lineage: Bacteria
Description: partial 16S ribosomal RNA
Rfam family: Bacterial small subunit ribosomal RNA
Source: RNAcentral